Anolis carolinensis (green anole) is the source of this 4458-nucleotide long non-coding RNA. RefSeq lists it as uncharacterized. Lineage: Eukaryota; Metazoa; Chordata; Lepidosauria; Squamata; Anolidae. The transcript is spliced from 3 exons. The record is from RefSeq and is a predicted model, not a curated record.
UGCUGAUCUGAGAGAGGAUAAUGGACAAUCACAUCUAUUGUCAAAGCAGAGGGAACCAGUGCAGCCUUUACACAACACUGGCAUAUAAUAGCAUAACAGCACUUUUGUUUUUGCAGAAAAUGACAGAAAUGUACAAGGGGAUUCAUUAACACUGAAAGUGUUAUGGAUCCUAUUUUGGAAUCUUUCAAGGACAUCGUUGGGGUGCUAAUAGAAGCUGUUAAUGGCUCAAGAGAAUGUAUAAAACAAUUCAAAGUAUGGAAAAAAAUUCAAAAUAUGGGAAAGAUAUCAGGAGCGACUUGAGAAACUGCAAGUCACUUUUGGUGUGAGAGAAUUGGCUGACUGUCAAGGGGAUGCCCGGAUGUUUUUUUUGUUAAUAUUUUACCAUCCUUGUGGGAGGCUUCUGUCAUAUCCCCGCAUGGAGCUGGAGCUGAUAGAGAUUGUAUUCGAACUGGCAACCUUCAGACUACAGCCCAAAAUACAUCCCAGACAGUUCAGGAAUGUCAAAAGAAGUGCUCAUGGGAAAUAAUUCAGUGAUCUCAAGGUGGCUCUCCUGCCUCCCACUUCCCUCUCAAUGACUUUGGGAUAUAGGUGAGGCUGAGAAACCAUCACCAGCCCAACAUCAUCCAGUCGAUUUCACAGCUCAGUGGGACAAAUAAAUGGAUCACCUAAAUCCCAGUUCAACCCUUUUAAUCAAUAUACCAUAAUGGCUCACCAGAAUUGCAGGGCUGCUUCCCCUCUGUUUCCUCUGUGCUGAGUUAUUCCAUAUAUUCUAUUAUAAAGUGCAACACAAUUUUCUAAACUUUAAUAUAAUUAACUAUAGCCAAAGUUUUGGACAAGAAACAGCCACCUCCCAAUCAGCCUGGGAUAAUUUCUCCUUCCUCGUCGUUGGUAUAUUCCACAGUUAGUCAACUGUUUGCCCAUUAAUUUUAGCUGGGAGUGCAGGAGGAGAGGUAUUUAUUUUUAUUUGGUUAAUUUUCACACAAUUCUACAUCUGUCUGUAUGUAGCAGUACACACAUUUUUAUAAGCUUGGCAGCGUUUUCACUGGCAUCAUUAGGAAAAGUUCUGUAAGGUUCUCCCAAAUAUGCCUGUUGCCAAAGUCUAGCAGGGAGCUAAGUAAACAUUGCACUGGGAUUUGGAUUUUAUGCAUGAACAACAAGGCACCCCCUAUACAUUUUAAAUUACUGGUCACUUGCAAUCAAAUGCACAGGAACAUAAAAGUAUAGUCUUGCUCUUAGUGCCAUAAAAAGUAAAUAGCAGGGCAGGAGGAAUAAGGGAAAGACACACCAGCAAACAAGAAUAAACCUUUUGUUCUUGAAACAAGUUGAGAUCAAGGCUUUGUUACAUGUUUAUUUUAAUUCAAUGAGAUUACAACAUUGGUUAGGAACAUGAUUUCAGUACUGUUUUCCUCUCUCUUUCACUCAUCCCACUUUUUGAAAAUUCACUGGAAUUAUGUUUAAGCUGGUUUUAAUGCAUAGGACAGAGAACAGAAAACUCAGUUUACCAAAACAUAGUUCCUUCCUUGUCAAAUGUAUAUACAGUAGAGUCUCACUUAUCCAAGCCUUGCUUAUCCAAGCCUCUGGAUUAUCCAAGCCAUUUUUGUAGUCAAUGUUUCCAAUAUGUUGUGACAUUUUGGUGCUAAAUUCGUAAAUACAGUAAUUACAACAUAACAUUACUGCAUACUGAACUACUUUUUCUGUCAAAUUUGUUGUAUAACAUGAUGUUUUGGUGCUUAAUUUGUAAAAUCAUAACCUAAUUUGAUGUUGAAUAGGCUUUUCCUUAAUCCCUCCUUAUUAUCCAAGAUAUUCGCUUAUCCAAGCUUCUGCCAGCCCGUUUAGCUUGGAUAAGUGAGACUCUACUGUAGUAGCAAGGAGAAAAGUGCCAGUCUGUUGGUGUGUUCUUACAUAGCAAUAAUACUAUUUCAUGUAACAUUUGUGAGCGUAUGCUUCUUUUCUGUCUUGGCUCUACUUUUAGCAGUGCUCAGCACCAAUUUCCCUAAUUUAAUACGAGGCACUGAAAUGGCAGUAGGCUAUAUAGGUCAUGCUUUUGGUGUCUUUAUAUAAGCUAGCAAGACGACGGAAGAGAACAGGCGAGGUCUUCCCUGCUAUUGUCCAUCGUGAAAUAAAAAAAAAAUCUGAACAGCGAGCUACAUGCUAUGUCUUUACAACUGAAGUGAGGAUGUCAAGAUGUCUCCCUUUGUCACUCUAAAUGCCCUCUUCACCAUUAAUAAUAGUCAGUUUGUGUUCAAAUCCAGCUGCCUUGUACUUGGUAUUGACUCAAGUGUUUGCUUUGAAGGAGGAAGAGAAAGUGGAGAAGUGAAAUGGAAGAGCAGAUUUCCACCUCUGUGCUAUAGCAAGAGAAUGAAAGCAAGGCUUGAUGGAUAUUGUCAGGGCUGUGCCAGGGUGAGACUGACCUGGCUAUAUAUAUAUAAUGCUGGGUUGCUUUGUGGGUUUUUUUCUGGCAGCUGAGUAGGCAGGUAUUUUCCAGAAAAGUCAGUGAUCUUGUUUAAGGAAAUGACAGGUCCUUUGCUGGGUAAAUGCUUUUUUCACAAAACCCGUUUCUUCUACUAUUGCUCAACUUCUGGGAUUUUCUUUCCAGUGAGUGCUUCCUAGGGUCAUACUCCGAAAUGAGCUGUACUGGGUUAGAAGACUGGUAGCUAGUAUUAAUUAAAAAAUACUUCACCACGACUUUGAACCUGUAUAUUUGUUGCUGCUCUUACUUAUUUUAUUAAUAUCUUACUCUUACAUCUGCAGAAGUCACAAAAAUUAGGGGAAAGAGAGGGAGCACUUGAUGGGACCGGCGAGAACAUAAACCUGAAAAAAGUUGUCCAAAAUGGGGAAGAAAAACCUUAUGAGACCUUAAAACAUCAAACUGGCAAGCAAUUAGAAAAGAAUACAGUUGGCCCUCUCUAUCCACCAAUUUUGUUUCCACAGUUUCAACCAAUCACAGCUUGAAAACAUACGGAAAACUGACUCUCUGUGGCACUUGUUUGAAUUAUUCAUUAUUUUAUUUAAGAGGUGUGUAAAGAGAAAUUGGAUGAGCAUACAGUAGAGUCUCACUUAUCCAACAUUUGCUUAUCCAACAUUCUGGAUUAUCCAACGCAGUCUGCCUCUUGCCCGGAUCCAUAGCUAUUUCUCUAGGCAGCAAGGACUGAAUUUUUUACGGAUUUAACUUCUAACAAUGUUGUUACUGCAAGUUCAUUUUAUGCAAUUCUAUCUUUAUUUGUAGUCAACUUGUUAGCAGCCAAUGUUUUAAUAGUCCUUGUUUACAAUACAUUGCAAUAUUUUGGUGCUAAAUUCGUACAUACAGUCAUUGCUACAUAAUGUUACCAUGUGUUGAACUGCUUUUUCUUCCAAUUUGUUGUAAAACAUGAUGUUUUGGUGCUUAAUUUGUAAAAUCAUAACUUCAUUUGAUGUUUAAUAGGGCUUUCCUUAAUCCCUCCUUAUUAUCCAACAUUUUUACUUAUCCAACAUUCUGCUGGCCCGUUUAUGUUGGAUAAGUGAGACUCUGCUGUAUGUAAUGCUUUAACUGGGUAUUCCUUGCUGAAUUAUAUUCUCCAACAUUUCACAGAUGAAAACCAGGAAAUGUGUAGUAGCCAAAAAACACUGAGGUUUGGUCAAGUUGGACAAAGUUGUUAAUGAGGGAGAAUCUAUAAACUAAGAGAAGACUGCAGCAGAUUGUUUUGCCAGAAUUUACUGGGAAUAGCAAGAUUUUGUCCACUCCUCUCCUUUCUUCCUGAUUAAUUAAUUACCGUAUAUACUCAAAGAUAAGCCGAGUUUUUCAGCCCUUAUUUAUGAGCUGAAAAAGCCUCCCCUGGAUUAUAAUCGGGUCAAGGCUGGCAAUGGAGUCUGCAGGCUAUUGCUUGCAAUAUGGGAUCUAUUUCUCUCUUCUCCUCCCUUAUCAGUGUUUUCUUUUGUAAAGCCUCCUUGCUCUUAAUCAAGAGAAUGUUUUGAAAAGAGAGACACCCUUGCAAGUCAGGAAGAAGAAAAAUAUACAUUCAUUAAUCUUGUGAAAGCAUUUUCCCCUGAAAUAUUUGUUAAACUCUCCUACAGAUAUAUAGGCAUUAACCCUUUGCAAGCUUUUGCAAUCUCUAAGUACCCUUAUAUGUGUAUCUAUCUAUAUACAUUAAUUUUAUAUAUGAAUUUUCCCCUCAUAUGUUUGCAGGUCUUUGCAAAUCUUUUAUACAUAUAGAUCCAUGUACCUGUGCAUCUGUAGCCAUACAUAUAUAUUUGCCUGUUCCUUUGUUGGAAGUUGGCCUGAGUCCCCAUGGGCAGAUAAGGUGGGAUCCAAAUGAAGUUUUAUUGUUGUUGUUGUUGUUGUUGUUGUUGUUGUUGUUGUUGAUGUUGUUAUAAGGUUAUUGUUGAUACCAUAUUGUGUUUAUUGCCCCUACUUUUCCACUUAUAGAGCUAGUUCAUUGUUUUUCUUUGAAAUACGGUAAAUAUUCAAAAACAUUUAACCUA